This is a non-coding RNA of Dipodomys spectabilis (banner-tailed kangaroo rat), 72 nucleotides long. NCBI's taxonomy places the organism in Eukaryota, Metazoa, Chordata, Mammalia, Rodentia, Heteromyidae. The record is from the annotation of a RefSeq genome assembly.
AAGGGGAUGGCUCAAGGGUAAAGCACCUGCUCAGCAAGCAGGAGGCCCUGAGUUCAAACCUCAGUUCCAUUA